GAACAGGUAAGCUAAGACACUAAGCUAUUGGGCUCAUAACCCGACAAUGGAACUACCUCCCUUGUUCAA
RNAcentral lists this transfer RNA (69 nucleotides) under Sakuraeolis japonica. RNAcentral's name for it is "tRNA-Met". Lineage: Eukaryota; Metazoa; Mollusca; Gastropoda; Nudibranchia; Glaucidae. The record is from RNAcentral.